GGUUUUCCGUGGUCAAGCACGCAGCCAGUCCCAUAGGCAAAUCCGUGGGACAUGCAGGGUGAGGUGCGAUGAUGGGCGCCUUUCAUGGCGCGAUAUCCGGUGGUCCAGGCCGUCGAGAAAAGCCUCGGCGCGAGGGGCGUUGCCGCCCGUACCCCAAACCGACACUGGUGGUCAGGUAGAGAAUACCAAGGCGAUCGAGCGAAUCCUGGUCAAGGAACUCGGCAAAUCACUCCCGUGCCUUCGGUAUAAGGG
RNAcentral lists this ribosomal RNA (252 nucleotides) under Vibrio cholerae. RNAcentral describes it as "partial 23S ribosomal RNA". It matches the Rfam family "Bacterial large subunit ribosomal RNA", at positions 1500 to 1747 of the family's 2925-position model. Lineage: Bacteria; Pseudomonadati; Pseudomonadota; Gammaproteobacteria; Vibrionales; Vibrionaceae. The record is from RNAcentral.